Long non-coding RNA from Pseudophryne corroboree (corroboree frog), 1199 nucleotides. RefSeq lists it as uncharacterized. The record is from RefSeq and is a predicted model, not a curated record. The transcript has 2 exons. Lineage: Eukaryota; Metazoa; Chordata; Amphibia; Anura; Myobatrachidae.
ACGUCAUGACGCAGUGACGUCAUGACGCGAAACGCCGGCGGUUUAGGUAGACGCCGCGGAGGAGCGGGUGGGCGCCAUUGUAAGUCCGUCAGGCGCCAGGGGCAAGCUGAGCUGAGGACGGUAAUUUGGCUGGCAGUGGCUGUGUGCUGAUGGUGGAGCGGCUGCGGAGGAUUAGCUGUAGGCCGCAUUUCAAAGAACUGUAUAUUGGAUUGAUCACAUCAUGUUACAGUAAACAGAAAAAAAUGACUUUCAAUAGAAUCACAGGUGUCAGAAUGAGAAACAGUAAUUUUUUUGAUGGUAACAAUUAUGGAGUGAUGCAUUUUUAACAGAAUUGAGAGAUGAGGAAGUGAAACGGUCGUAAGACCGUAGGGAAGAAAGAGAGAAAAGCAAAGAGAGAAAAAAGAAAGAGAAAAAGAUAGGACCCCUGUUGCAGGACUUCGGAGGGGACGUAACAAAGAGGAAUGUUAGAUCUGGGAAGUUUUAAAGGAAUGGAGAUGAAACAUUCUGGAAAGCUAACCAAGGACCCCACACUUUAUUAAAUGAAUUGGCGGAGUGAUUAAUUAACCUUGUCAUGUAUUCCAUUAUAUGAAUGUACCAUAUUCGAGAGAGAACUGCUUGCAAUGAUGGUACAGUAAGUUUUUUUCCAUUCUACAGCUAUUUGGCAUGAUGUUGCCGAAAUAAUUGUUACCGCACCACACAGAACAAAUUCGGACCCAGGGAGUAUGGUUUUUAGUUCCUGGAAGGUAACAAUGGGGUGGCUAGGCAGACAUGGGAGUAUCAGUGAAAGCGGCUACAUCUAAAGGCACAAAGCCACUCACAAAGGUCACCAUACUGAGAUGGAGAAAUUGCAACUGCCAUAGGCUUGACGCAAGCUUCGAAGAUGCAUCUGAUGGUUUGUCUAAGAUGCACUAAGAUGGAUUUCCAGAGCGCAAGAUGCUGCAAGUGGGCAUCAUAGUUUUGAAGAAAAUGGAUGAGGUAUCAGCAUCUGCAUGCCACUCAUUAUCAAUGCCCAAUAUAUUUUAUUAUUGUAUUUAUUGUAUGUUAAUCGUGAAUACGUAAGUGAAAUAUUUCAUUUACACGUUUGUGCUAGUUCCAUGACACGGAGUAGCAGAUAGAAACAAUUGCAUCUAUGCACCAUUGCAGUGAAGGUCAAAUUUUUAUAUUUGCUCAUUUGAAUAAAUGAAUGUAUUGCAUAUACA